AUGAACGCUGGCGGCGUGCCUAAUACAUACAAGUCGAGCGAACGGACGAGAAGCUUGCUUUUCUGAUGUUAGCGGCGGACGGGUGAGUAACACGUGGAUAACCUACCUAUAAGACUGGGAUAACUUCGGGAAACCGGAGCUAAUACCGGAUAAUAUUUUGAACCGCAUGGUUCAAAAGUGAAAGACGGUCUUGCUGUCACUUAUAGAUGGAUCCGCGCUGCAUUAGCUAGUUGGUAAGGUAACGGCUUACCAAGGCAACGAUGCAUAGCCGACCUGAGAGGGUGAUCGGCCACACUGGAACUGAGACACGGUCCAGACUCCUACGGGAGGCAGCAGUAGGGAAUCUUCCGCAAUGGGCGAAAGCCUGACGGAGCAACGCCGCGUGAGUGAUGAAGGUCUUCGGAUCGUAAAACUCUGUUAUUAGGGAAGAACAUAUGUGUAAGUAACUGUGCACAUCUUGACGGUACCUAAUCAGAAAGCCACGGCUAACUACGUG
Molecule: ribosomal RNA, 496 nt
Filed under: uncultured bacterium
Lineage: Bacteria
Description: partial 16S ribosomal RNA
Rfam family: Bacterial small subunit ribosomal RNA
Source: RNAcentral